This 6477-nucleotide long non-coding RNA is filed under the name Androctonus crassicauda. The record is from RNAcentral. Lineage: Eukaryota; Metazoa; Arthropoda; Arachnida; Scorpiones; Buthidae.
GUUGGAGAACGGCGCUCCUCGCAGGAUUUUUAGAUUUAAAUUAUCGUAGGCUUUUUACAGGUUAGUUGGCAUUAAUUAUGAUGAUUAUUUGCCUUUCGAAUGUUGCGAUUAAUGUAUGAAAACUCGAAAAUAAAGACGCGAUACUUACAGCCGUCUAGGGUAAACAAAUCACCGUUACUCGAACCUGAUCGUUAAUUAUUAUCGUCUGCUGGAUUAAUUGACAGUGUUGCCAUCGAGAAAAAAAAUGACGAUUUCUCGCACCAUCUGACCUAGAUGUCAUCGGCUUUUUGCCAGGAAGGUGUGUAAAUAAUCCGUUCGAAGACCUUGUUGCUAAUUCGCGAUUAUUUUUACGGAACCAUAGCGUGACAUACUUAAAACGGAACCCAGUGGCAGUAAGAUGUCCGAAAAAUUUCGUUAUUUUGGUGACUAAUGCGCAAAAUCGUUAGAAAUUUAGGCCUAGGAUGCGCUUGAACGUUCUUGUUGAAAAUCUAGUGAUGGGUGGACCGAAGAGGAACGGAUGUACUUCGUACCACACAGUUUCGAAUUUCGCGUUUGGUCGGAUAAAGUACCAACCGGAGCGAAGGUUAGCGUGCGGUCUUCCUACCUUUACAAACUAUAUUAGUAUGACGUUGAAGUUAAAAAGUCGGUCUGUGCAGUACGUCCGAGAAAAAGGAAAAUGUUUCCGGGAAACACUCCCGGAACGACCAAAAAAUAAUACGUGUGACGCACCCGUACGAAGAAGUUAAGAGUACAACGACCCUUCCGUCUUUCUCGGAUAUAGACCGAAAUGACGUCAUGUCCGACCAGGCGGUCGUCCGAUCGGAUUUUUUUCUUUUUUAGUCCGCCCGUAUUGUUUAGGAAUUAGGUCAGAAAAUGUUGGAGACUACAAAGAAAUCGGACAAUGAGUAGGCUUGUGCUGUAAACAAUACUGGUUUCGUGCAUUCGAAGGUCGGUAUAAUUGCGAAAAGUCUUGUUUUAAUCCCAAGUGAAAUUUGUCUUUGCGGAUUAUUCGGAGCUUUUGUUUUAAUAAGUAUGCAUCAAAAAAUACAUACCGUACCUUUAUUGUGGAAACAUUUAUGGAAAACAAUCGCAUUUGCAACCAAGCAUUUCUUCGAUUUAUAAUGGUGGUGGAACUGGAUGAAUUCUUUCCACCGAGGUAAAUUUUCCUUAUUAGAUCUCUCUCGGUGCAUUGUUCAGAUCGUAAAGUCGGUCAGGCGUUUUAAACGAGAGUUUAAAACUUCAAUGUAUGAGAUAUAUACAAUAAGAAUUCGUUCGAGUGAUUUUUCUGAAAAAGUUCCGAUAAGACAACUUUCUUUACAUUUCUGUUGCUUGUUGAUUUUCAUUUUUAGAUUGCUUUGUAUAGUUUUAAUAUAAAAUUCUUUAAAUGCGAAUAUUUCAAAUUGAUUUUAUACGAGAAACGGGUUUAAUGUAAAAAUUUUUCGCUGUUGCAUUCGCAUAACUUAUUGCACUAUUGGAAUAUAAAUAAAAAAACUUUUGUUUCAACUGGUGUUUAUUGGAGAACAGUUCUGUGUGAUGCAACAAUAUUAAAAAUGAUAUAAUAAAUUAUUUUACUCGAUAAAUAUCUUACUUUAGAGGAAAUUUCGGAGAUGUUUGCGUUUGUUACCCGAGCACGUUGUUAUCGCGCUAAUCAUCUGGGAGGAUGUUACUAAACGAACGUCAUCGGAGCGGUAGAUAUCUGGUUGAGCUAUUACUGCUAGCUUUACUGAUUAUUUUUACUUCAGUGUUUUCUCCUUGAAGAACUCGUCAGGUUUUCUUUCUGAAAAUUUGUUAUCGCGCUAAGGCGUUUUCUGUUCUAAAAGUUUUAUUUCCGAAAUAAACAGAAUGGAACCGAAUAGGGUGAAAAUGUUUUGUACUACCCUCCGACAUAAUUCACAAAAUAUAGGUUAUAUCUUCCGGAUGAAGUGUAACAUACGUUAUAUUCUGUGAAGAUUUUCUCCGAGAAAAUGAUAAAGAUUAAAAUAGGAAUUAAAACAUGCCGAUACGCAACUUUCUGAGAACUAUCUUUUUAAUCUGGAAUCAAAAGAGAUUGCAGCAUAAUAUUGUUGUCGCUGUAAUGCCGAUAUCAACCACGUGGAUUGAGAUGCGAGGAGAAUUAUUAUUUUUUCUUCGUGUUUUAUCGACGAUAAGAAACAAACUGAAUUAAUUAUCCUUCGAUUUAGAAUUAUAUCAGACUUUUAGAAAUAGUUUCUAAUCGAUCUGUUCUGUUUAGCCAAUAUCGAUGCAUAAAACUUCGAUCCGAGAUCAAGGUCGCGAAUUGGGGUUAACUGAAACUUAAAAAAUCUGUUCAAUAAAACAAGUUACAGAUUUAUUUACUAUUCAUUAAAAGAACCAAACGGCCGUUCGAUUAAUUAAAGUAAGUUUUAUACAUACGUUUAUUUCGAGCCGUAACCUCUUUCUGACGUGUUUAUUAUUAUUAUUUUUUUCUUAUAAACACCGCACUAAAAAUAACUUCGAUUAUUAACCCGUAAUUAUAUAUAUAAAAAUGUGCGAUUUAUCAACGCCUCUCUUUUGUUCCGUUCUGGGAGCGACUACUACAGUACUUUACUAUAGGCUACGGCGUCGCAACUUAACGUUUGAAUCGGGUAUUUCCCACGGGUUAGCGACCCGCUUUUAGUUAAUAGACGGGUUCAAUUUUAUUUAUAGACAAAUGACCGAUUAGGGAAAAUUAUUAACUACUAUAUGUACACCAGAUUGAUUUGUGACGUCAAUAUCGAUAAUCCAAUUUUAGUUAAACGCUCUUUCCUGUGCAGUUCGAAGGAUGGUGACGGUACAUAGAUUAAUUGAGUCCUCUCGUAGCCUAUUUUCGUCGCCAAUAACUUAAUAGCUAUUAGUAAUGAAGGAAUUUUUCCAAAUUUAAGUCAUUUUUCCUCUUCGUAUUGUAUGGUGAAUCGAAUAAAAAAUAAAUAAAUAAAAAUAAAACAGGGCUAAUUAAGUUUAUCUACCUGAUUUGUUACGUAAUUAUAGACCCGGAAGAUUUCACGUUCCAGACUUUCUUACACGAAUUCUGCAAAUAACAAAUAGGUUGUGGAUAAUAUAAAAUUAAUACAUCAUCAUCUUUUUGUUUCGUUUUGCGGUAGCCAUAUUAACUGUGUUACAUAAGUGAUUUAAGGUUGGCUUUUUAAUUAUGGUAGACUUUAGCCAUUCGGAAAUUAGAGAUGUUGCAAAAAUAAGGUAUCGUAUUAUUUGCGUGUUUAUGUAUCGAGUGUCCGAUAUACUAUCAAUGAAUUAUUAUAUGGCGGAGGAGGCUUUCGAAAUUUCUAAAGAAUUUUCCGUUAGCCGCUUACAAGAUAGAGAUUUUACACGGAAGUCAUGCCUGGUUUAUUCUCUGAAAUUCGUAAUUUCCUUUUCUUUCGGAUUUACUAAUAGUGAAAGAAGGAAAAAAAUAAGAAAAGCCUUUUUUUGACGCAAUCGUUAUUCUAUUUAAAUCUUCGAAGUUACUAAUUGCCAGAGUAUUUUCGAAUUUUCUGUGACACAUCCGCGUUUUCCGAUCGAUUCACCAGGUGAUAACUAGGUCACGUGACUAGAUUUAUAUUUAUUUAAUUUUUUUUUACGGUCCGACAGACAUUUAGUCGAAUGUGUGUCUAGCACAUAACAGUUUUAAUGCCUCUCUCGACCCAGUGGGAAAGGCAGUUGCGUCAACAUUUAGCGUACCAUUUAGCUUUCUUUCAAUUCCCCACGCGGCUCAGAAAAGCACGAUUAUCCUUCACUCCUUUUCAUGUAGGCUACCGAUAACAUCAAAACUAAUGGCUAUUGCUGACCUUAAUCCGAUUAUAGUUCAAUUACGUUUCUAAUUUUAAUUUCAUUAGAUAGUUUGUUGCUUUUUUGCUUUAGUUGUUAUUUAUUUCGAUGGCUUAUGUUUUAAAUUCGCGUUAAAACGUGCGUCUUUGUUGUAUGUACGUGAGUUUAAAUUAAGUAAAUUUAAUGUUUUAUAUAGAUUCCAAUUCUGUUAACUGUCAUGUUAAAGAAAGCCAAAAAAUAGUCAUAAAUAUUCCAUAAAUAACCGAGUGUCGGUUUGUCACCCUCUAGCGCAAUAAAUGUUUCCAGUCGAGUGCAAUAAUAUAUAUAAAUCCGAACCAUGACCUCUAUUCCCAGAACUAAUUUAUUAUGUACGGCCAUACAAUUAAAUACCGUAUUCGAUACAACGAAUGAUUUUUAAAAAUUUUUUUAUACAGUAUUUCAAAUUUCUCAAAGCCAUUUCUUAAUAUCAUAUCGGAUGGUCGCAUCCUUGACACUUGGUCUACUCCAUCACGCUAAGACAAUACAAAAUGAAGUUUUCCCGACAUAAUAUUAUUAUUUAUCGCCAGCACUGCCAAGACGAUAUAUUAUUGGAAGGUGACCAAGUCGUGUCUUCUCGUCACGUUUUAUGUUUUUGAUUCGAAGAUGAAAAGCGAAUGCUACUUUCGCUUGACCGUGAAAUCUUUUUUCGGUCGCAUUUGACGUCACGUUUUCACGUCAUUCGAUACAGUACGUUAAAAAGAAAACCGGAUAUCGAACUUUUACCAAUAUCGAUAACAGUUUUAAUACGAAAUUUUCUUCGAUGCCAAAACACGAGAUGACGUCAAGGCAUUUAUGUCUGGGACAUUAAUUUCCUCGGCGUGGAUAUUUUACUUUUAAAACGUCCUUGGUCUUAUUUAAAUAACUUAAUUCUUUUUAAAAGGUACGCUCGAUAAUCGGCUGCAGGCGACGUUUUAACCAAUCAAUUUAAAAAUAAUCAUCGGUUACGUCUACUCGUUAUGAUUAAUUUAUGAGCUUUAAAUAUUUUUAUCGGCAAAAUCGAAAGUCGACUGCGACGGUAAGUCAGGCUAUAAACCUUUGUAAUAUGUAUCACACAGAACAUUAAACGGCGCCAGUCAAAGUCCCACACACAAUGAAAAAUUGUAACGUCGAAUUUUAAAAUAAAAUUUUCCUGCACUCGCAAAUAUUGUGUGAUGAAAGCGCCGGACAUUUACACGCUUUCAUAAAAUUCCAAUUUAUAUUAUUACAUUAUUUAACCGUAAUAAUAUCGACGAUAAUUUUUAACUUUAUAGUUUUUCGAUUGGAGAAAGAUAUUAAAAGUCAGAUAGGUCGGCAACGAGAUAAGAUUCUAGGAGUUUUGUUUUUUAGUAAAGUAUAUAAAUUAUUGUUCUGUUGUCGUCAAGUCUCGUAAAAAUAUAUGACAUUUAAUGAUUCUAACAAAAUAGAUUGUUAUUUAUUAGCCGAAAAUAUUAUCGAGAACUGAUGCAACUUUUAUUAUUCGAAUUAAAAUGAAUUAUCUCCCCGUGACGUAUUUAAAAAAAAAAAAAAAUAUGACGACCGAGUUUAACGAGAUCGGUUUGUUGUUCUGACACGAGAGAGCAUCGGCGAUUGUUUCGCAAUCUUAUAAAUAAAUUAAAAUGUUAUUUUGACAUGUAUGUGUUUUCAUAGGAUCUCCGAUACAUAACUAUAACGAGCGAAUUGUUUUUUGACGUCUUUUGUUAAAGUAUUCUAACAUUAAAAUAUCUUUAUCAUCGUGAAGAAAACAGUUUCUGGAAAUCACCUUUUAAAUAAUUGUUGAAUAAUUCUUUCGUAAACUUUUAUAUAAAGUACGCGCAUAUCGAAAAACUUGCUGCCAUUUACAAAAUCUUAUUUAUAGAUAUUUUCUUUUUUUUUAAUUAAUUAAUAAAAAAUAUACAGUGUUUUGUUUUGAUAUAAAUUAUGCGCUUCAGCGAUUUUCCACCUCCCAAAGAUCGGUUACAAUUUUUGCCUCAUUACUAAUGGACAGAAAAUUAGAAUUAGCAUUAUCAUCGGUUUUUAUUUGUUCAUUGACCUAGUAGCCUAUAGUUAGAACCGCUUUGUCGAUGAUUUAACAGAAAAAAAAGAAACAUUAUACGACAAUUUAUUGUUACUCAACACGACAAUUUUAUGAUUCUGUAAACUUACAUCAUUUAUGUUAAAUCUAUUAUUUCAGUUAGAUUUUUAAAUGGUUCUUUUAAUUUAUAAAAGACGAUUUAAAAACUUGUCGAAAGAACAAUAUUAACAUUAGGAAACAAAAGCUAAAAAAAACACCAUUAUACAUUUUAUCUUAUCGACGUGAAAGCUGAUAUGUGAGAAUACGGUUCCGAUGAUAUAUGGUAAAGGUCGAGCGAUACGCGUUAUUGUUACCACCAUUUUAUUAUUAAUAAAUGAUCCGCGAUUUAUCGUCACGUGCCUUAAUGUUAAUUGCGUAAUUCUAUUUAAUGUAGUUGUAUUAUUAUUUUUAAACAAGACUUCGAUUUAUUAUAGAAGAUAUGUUAUUGUCAUCGUUCGCAUUGUCGUCAUUAUUUUCAGUCCGCAUUCAUUUUACAUUCCUGUCCUUUCAAGCGUAAAUUGAAUAUAACUAGGCAACGGCAUAGGGAUUUCAAAAAAUAAUUUCAGACUUAAUCAUAAUAUACAAUUUUACAAUUCACUUGUUUCUGACAAUCACUAAUACGGCUGAAAUCAUUUUUAUGGAAUGUCGUA